RNAcentral lists this transfer RNA (63 nucleotides) under Taenia regis. RNAcentral's name for it is "tRNA-Thr". Lineage: Eukaryota; Metazoa; Platyhelminthes; Cestoda; Cyclophyllidea; Taeniidae. The record is from RNAcentral.
GGUUUUUUAGUUUAAUUAAAAUGUGGAUUUUGUAAAUCUAUGAUGAUAGUUUAUCAUUGACCU